CUACGGUCGUACCGCGGUGUAGGCUGUUUGUGAGGUGUGGACAACACCCUUCUUAACGUUAAGUUUUUAAUUCAUUUUUUAAGACUUUUUCUUCUUCCUCUUUCCCACGAAUUCUUCUUCUCGCCCACGACUGUAAAACCAGGUUCUCUUUCUCAUCGCCAAUCACAAUCCAGCUGCUACCCAUUAAGCUUGUUCUCUCUAUGUUUACUGUGGCUAUCAACGCAGCUCAGUCUCAGAGGCUUUUUGGCUUCCCCGUUCUUCCCUGGCGAAGGUGAGCUACUUUUUCCAUUUUCAGGCAUGAAGGUGAGCUACUCUUUCCAUUUUUCGACAUAGCUGGUGUUUCUCCCAUCAUCCCUUCCCGUUGAUCAUCAGUUUCAGUUUCACAUUUAGGUUGUAGCAUACGAUCUACGAACAUGGCUCGUACACGGUUUUCUUCAAGAUCUGCUCCGUCUACAAUAAUUCUCCUCAUUCUAAAUAUAAACAAAAAACUUCAGCUCAUGUUGAAGCAAGAGGGAAGAAGAUGUCCUCUAAUAGCGAGCAUGAAGCUAAGAAAGCCAAAAUAGCUAAAAAGACUCAACUAACUAUUGAGGAACCUUCACAUUACCCUCCUGAGGCACAUUUUUAAUUUCUUUCAGUUUAUUUUGUUUUUUUUUUCCUUAAAAAAAUUUAAUUAAACUUUAAUACUGAUUGUUGAGGUUAUGUUAUAGUGUUCUUUUUUAUUA
Long non-coding RNA from Humulus lupulus (European hop), 722 nucleotides. RefSeq lists it as uncharacterized. The record is from RefSeq and is a predicted model, not a curated record. The transcript is spliced from 2 exons. NCBI's taxonomy places the organism in Eukaryota, Viridiplantae, Streptophyta, Magnoliopsida, Rosales, Cannabaceae.